Molecule: non-coding RNA, 47 nt
Filed under: Eutreptiella gymnastica
Lineage: Eukaryota; Euglenozoa; Euglenophyceae; Eutreptiales; Eutreptiaceae
Source: RNAcentral
AUUAUUUAUUUUUUUAUUUUUCCUUUUUUUUGUAUAAUAAUAAUAAC